RNAcentral lists this ribosomal RNA (482 nucleotides) under uncultured bacterium. RNAcentral's name for it is "partial 16S ribosomal RNA". It matches the Rfam family "Bacterial small subunit ribosomal RNA", at positions 30 to 507 of the family's 1533-position model. The record is from RNAcentral.
AUUGAACGCUGGCGGCAUGCUUUACACAUGCAAGUCGAACGGUAACAGGCCGCAAGGUGCUGACGAGUGGCGAACGGGUGAGUAAUGCAUCGGAACGUGCCCAGUCGUGGGGGAUAACUACUCGAAAGAGUAGCUAAUACCGCAUACGAUCUAUGGAUGAAAGCGGGGGACCGUAAGGCCUCGCGCGAUUGGAGCGGCCGAUGUCAGAUUAGGUAGUUGGUGGGGUAAAGGCUCACCAAGCCAACGAUCUGUAGCUGGUCUGAGAGGACGACCAGCCACACUGGGACUGAGACACGGCCCAGACUCCUACGGGAGGCAGCAGUGGGGAAUUUUGGACAAUGGGCGCAAGCCUGAUCCAGCAAUGCCGCGUGCAGGAAGAAGGCCUUCGGGUUGUAAACUGCUUUUGUACGGAACGAAACGGCUCUGGUUAAUACCCGGGGUUAAUGACGGUACCGUAAGAAUAAGCACCGGCUAACUACGUG